This 70-nucleotide transfer RNA is filed under the name Mallotus villosus (capelin). RNAcentral's name for it is "tRNA-Pro". It matches the Rfam family "tRNA". From Rfam's summary of the family: Transfer RNA (tRNA) molecules are approximately 80 nucleotides in length. Their secondary structure includes four short double-helical elements and three loops (D, anti-codon, and T loops). The record is from RNAcentral. Lineage: Eukaryota; Metazoa; Chordata; Actinopteri; Osmeriformes; Salangidae.
UCAGGGGGUAGUUUAACCGAGAAUCUUAGCUUUGGGAGUUAAGGGUGGGAGUUUAAUUCUCUCUCCUCUG